This is a non-coding RNA of Taeniopygia guttata (zebra finch), 2118 nucleotides long. NCBI's taxonomy places the organism in Eukaryota, Metazoa, Chordata, Aves, Passeriformes, Estrildidae. The record is from RefSeq and is a predicted model, not a curated record.
UUGCCUGUGUCCUGUUCCUCCAUCCCUUGUCCCCAGUCCCUCUCCAGCUCUCCAGGCCCUGGAAGGGGCUCUGAGCUCUCCCUGGAUUCUUCUCUUCUCCAGGUGAACGCCCCGAGGUCUCCCACCGUGGUUCCGUGCAGAGGGGCUCAGCCUUAGAGCCUCCUCCCCUGAGCAGCUCCACAUCCUCCUGAUGCCGAGGAGGGGCUGGGCACAGCUCUGCAGGUGGGACCUCCAGAGGUCACCUCUGUGAGUCCAGUGACCAGCACACCUGGAGAUGCAGAUACUGAGCUGGUACCUCCCUCCUCAUAGGAUGAAUCCUACCUCCAGGCUUUGAAUUCCUCCGAUGUUGAGCUGAUUCUGCCCUUUUCUGGGUUUGUGCUGCCUGUCCCACCUGUGACAUGAGGUUAAUUGCUCUUGCCUGUGUCAGGUGAGGUGAUACCUCAAACCUGUGUGAUAAAUGCCAUUAUCUGAGUUGUCAAGCUGAACACAAGGAUGCUCACAAAGUCCCCACUUUGAAUCUCCAACCCUCUGUCUGAAGGGAGACAGAGGAACAACAGAAAGAGAUGAGCCAGUCUUACCCCAGCUGAAGAGACCUAAAGCAAGAACUCAUCCCAGUGGGACAGGGCUGGCAUCAGUAUGGAAGUCCUUCAUUUCAAGUCCAAAAAUUUUGAAACCCAGAAAAUAAUGAGCUCAAAGUUUCAGGCCCAAAUCCAUCAGGUCUGAGGGCCCGAGGAUCUAAAGAAGAAAACCAUUGCACAUCAGAUAGUGGGAAUGCACAGCACCCUGGUUCCUCCAGAGGCAGCCAGAAUCUGAGCACACCUAAGUAUAAGGGAAAAAAAAAAUAUCCCUUUUCUCCCAUGUAAGCACUCAUAAGGAUAUAUUAUGCUUUAUUUUCAGGAAAAUGCUGGUUUGUUAUGGCAACACUUCAAGCCCAAAUCACAAAUGCAAACUGUCUCCAAAGUAGGAGCCAUGAAGUCAGAGGUGACCAGGGCUGCCAGCAAAGUGAGGCUCAUCAGGCGUCCACCAGGAACAUCUCUCAAACCUUGAGAUAGGACCGAGGGAGAAGACCAGCAAACUUGACAGUGCCCACAAGGAAUGUCCAGCUGCCAGCAAAGCUGUUCAUAGUUCUCAGGCUGCUGGAGAAGUGACGGGAGGCAGAGGGAGCAUCCAGUCCUGGAAUGCUGCUCCCCUGGGUUGGACAGGAGAGACCCCCUGGGAGGCAGCGAGCCCUGUGCAUGGCCUGCAGCUAUCCAGCGACUCAAAGCUCAAACAUCCCAUGGAAAAGUUAGCUUUUAAUGGAUGGUAAAUGUUUGGGGAGACCUUUGACCAGCACUAAUACUGCAGCUGACCGGGCAGGAGUGGGGAGUGAAUGACCCACAUUAGGCUGGGCUGCUCACUUUAGUGAACAAUAUCUGUCAAACCUCCUGCUUAACCCUCCCUCCCCAUCCCCUCCUGCCCUCAGGUGCUCCCUGGACAGGUAUUGACGGGCUGAGAGCUGGCUUUGGGUCACCCUUGUUCUGUACAGCCAUCAAACCAGCUCAGAGCACCUUGCUGAGCUGGAGAAGGUGCAGGAAUACUUUCAGAUGCCUCCAAAAUUUCCUUUUAACUGAUUUUCCACGUGUCCAAAUUUGUUUCAGCCCUGGACAUUGUCAUCUGCUCUGGCAAAGAUAAGAAAGCAGUGAGUGUGGAGGACUUGGUUCCUGACUGGGUCUUUCUGAGGAAGGCAUCAAUGGAGACAUUUUGCUUCCUGUGUCUUAGCAUAAACCACUGGGCUCAAAUUCCUCUGAGAAUCUCACACUUUAGGGUGUUCAGCAUUCCCUGAAAAUAUUCACAGUAUUCCCUGCCAAUUUUCCCACAAGUAUUUUUUUGUCAAACUGGAAACUCCUGGGGCCCCUACUUAAGACAUCACUCACAGUAGCCCUCUUAUGGUGCUCUCUUCACUACUUUUACACAUCAGACAUUUGAGUUUUUUCCUCUUUAAAAAUUUAAAGUCUUUCAAGAUUUUCAGCUUGGCAAAAAUAAUUCUGAUUAUUUGCAAAGCCAUUGAUGCAAAAUGAGUGUCCUUGUCCCCACUGCUAAGCACUGUGCACAGGGCAAGGAGGGCUCCAGUUGUGAUCC